RNAcentral lists this ribosomal RNA (208 nucleotides) under uncultured bacterium. RNAcentral's name for it is "partial 16S ribosomal RNA". It matches the Rfam family "Bacterial small subunit ribosomal RNA", at positions 568 to 775 of the family's 1533-position model. The record is from RNAcentral.
CGUGUAGGCGGCCAAGCAAGUCAGAGGUGAAAGCCCUGGGCUCAACCUGGGAACUGCCUUUGAAACUGCUUGGCUUGAGACCGGAAGAGGAUGGCGGAAUUCCCAGUGUAGAGGUGAAAUUCGUAGAUAUUGGGAAGAACACCGGUGGCGAAGGCGGCCAUCUGGUCCGGUUCUGACGCUGAGGCGCGAAAGCGUGGGGAGCAAACAG